CAAACACGUGCGUCGCAAAGUCGUAAAUAAAUUCUGUAUGUGAUAUUUAGCGGAAGCCAUUUAACCAUAUCAUUUUGUCAAACAAUUCAAUCAACACCUUUAUUAAUUAGUCCUUUGUUGUCGAUAGCUAUAAAAUGCAAUCAGCUGAUUAUUGAUUUUCUGUCCAAAUCUUAAUGAGGUCAAGGUGAAUUCCGAGUAUUGUCUGAUCGGGUAAAGUCCGAGAAACUCGAAAAAAGUAAAUAAACAAGAUAGAGGAAAAUAAAUCGUUCCAUAUAUUUCUUUCGCCAAAUUCUUUCGCAAAUGACGAAUUUUUAUCGCCACAAUUAUUAUUUUUUGACCGCCAGCGGAAACCCUGGACACAUGCAUUCCAAACUUCCUUAAGGUGGCUCGGGACUAUUCGACUGCGCAUAAUUUCACGCAUGAAUUACAAAAGUAUUUGCCGUAAAUUCGAUAUAAUUUUUUUUAAUAUUUUGAUUGAUUAGAAAUGUCAAAUCAUUGUAGUUAUGUAACUAAUAGAAUAUUUUCGUUAUUAUCGGUAUUUUUUAAAGGGUCAAAAUGACAAUUCACCCAUUUUCACCAUUUUCCCGCAAAAUUU
RNAcentral lists this long non-coding RNA (595 nucleotides) under Mytilus galloprovincialis (Mediterranean mussel). Lineage: Eukaryota; Metazoa; Mollusca; Bivalvia; Mytilida; Mytilidae. The record is from RNAcentral.